AUUGAACGCUGGCGGCAUGCCUUACACAUGCAAGUCGAACGGUAACAGGUUAAGCUGACGAGUGGCGAACGGGUGAGUAAUACAUCGGGACGUGCCCAGUAGUGGGGGAUAGCCCGGCGAAAGCCGGAUUAAUACCGCAUACGACCUACGGGUGAAAGGGGGGGAUCGCAAGACCUCUCGCUAUUGGAGCGGCCGAUGUCAGAUGAGGGAGUUGGUGGGGUAAAAGCCUACCAAGCCGACGAUCUGUAGCUGGUCUGAGAGGACGACCAGCCACACUGGGACUGAGACACGGCCCAGACCCCUACGGGAGGCAGCAGUGGGGAAUUUUGGACAAUGGGCGCAAGCCUGAUCCAGCCAUGCCGCGUGCGGGAAGAAGGCCUUCGGGUUGUAAACCGCUUUUGUCAGGGAAGAAACGCUCUGGGUUAAUACCCUGGGGUAAUGACGGUACCUGAAGAAUAAGCACCGGCUAACUACGUGCCAGCAGCCGCCGCAG
This 493-nucleotide ribosomal RNA is filed under the name uncultured bacterium. RNAcentral's name for it is "partial 16S ribosomal RNA". It matches the Rfam family "Bacterial small subunit ribosomal RNA", at positions 29 to 523 of the family's 1533-position model. The record is from RNAcentral.